This 381-nucleotide long non-coding RNA is filed under the name Phaseolus vulgaris (common bean). RNAcentral's name for it is "long non-coding RNA (PVUL_LNC003621)". Lineage: Eukaryota; Viridiplantae; Streptophyta; Magnoliopsida; Fabales; Fabaceae. The record is from RNAcentral.
UACCAAGCGCCGCCUUACGGCGUGCGGGACUAUUCUCCCGCUCCACAGGGCUAUGGGUACCCUUCGUACGGUGCGCCGCCAAGUGGGUAUCCUUACAAUGCUCCACCGCAAGGUUAUGGUGCGCCACCGCAGGGCUAUGGUGCGCCACCUCAGGGUUAUGGUGAGCCACCGCAGGGUUAUGGUGCACCACCGCAGGGAUAUGGUGCGCAACCUCAGGGAUAUGGUGCGCAACCUCAGAGUGGGUACGGGUAUAGUAAUGCACCUCCGCAAACGGCGUCGUAUGGGCAGGGGAGCGCGUACGGGUACGCGCCGAAAGAGGAGAAGAAGAAGAGUAAGUUUGGGGGUAUGGGAGCGGGAUUGGCUGUGGGCGCGGUUGCUGGG